AAAAAGCUCGUAGUCGAAAUUGUGUCCUCGGCCGCCGGUUCGUCGCUCGCGACGCCAACUGGCGCGCACGCUGGACGUCCAGCCGGUACUACGAACUCGCCUACGGGGUGCUCUUAACCGAGUGUCCAGGCGGGGGCCGGCAACGUUACUUUGAACAAACUAGAGUGCUUAAAGCAGGCUAAAUUGCGCUCGCAUACGUACGCGCAUGGAAUAAUCGAAUAGGACCUCCGUUCUAUUUUGUUGGGUUUUUGUGGAACGACACGCGGAGGUAAUGAUCAAUGGGUGCGGAUGGGGGCAUUCGUAUUGCGACGUUAGAGGUGAAAUUCUUGGAUCGUCGCAAGACGGACUUAAGCGAAAGCAUUUGCCAAAAACGCUUUCAUCGAUCAAGAACGAAAGUUAGAGGUUCGAAGGCGAUCAGAUACCGCCCUAGUUCUAACCAUAAACUAUGCCAGCUAGCGAUCCGCCGAAGUUACUUCUAUGACUCGGCGGGCAGCUUCCGGGAAACCAAAGCUUUCGGGUUCCGGGGGAAGUAUGGUUGCAAAGCUGAAACUUAAAGGAAUUGACGGAAGGGCACCACCAGGAGUGGAGCCUGCGGCUUAAUUUGACUCAACACGGGAAACCUCACCAGGCCCGGACACCGGAAGGAUUGACAGAUUGAGAGCUCUUUCUUGAUUCGGUGGGUGGUGGUGCAUGGCCGUUCUUAGUUGGUGGAGCGAUUUGUCUGGUUAAU
This 730-nucleotide ribosomal RNA is filed under the name Lampyridae sp. PJRK-2019. RNAcentral describes it as "SSU rRNA". It matches the Rfam family "Eukaryotic small subunit ribosomal RNA", at positions 621 to 1323 of the family's 1831-position model. The record is from RNAcentral. Lineage: Eukaryota; Metazoa; Arthropoda; Insecta; Coleoptera; Lampyridae.